AUACGGAGGGUCCGAGCGUUAUCCGGAAUCAUUGAGUUUAAAGGAUCCGUAGGCGGGAAUCUAAGUCAGUGGUGAAAUCUUGCAGCUCAACUGUAAAAUUGCCAUUGAUACUGGAUUUCUCGAAUUAGUGUGAAGUGGUUAGAAUGUGUAGUGUAGCGGUGAAAUGCAUAGAUAUUACACAAAAUACCAAUUGCGAAGGCAGAUCACUAACACUAUAUUGACGCUGAGGGACGAAAGCGUGGGGAGCGAACAGGAUUAGAUACCCCAGUAGUCC
RNAcentral lists this ribosomal RNA (274 nucleotides) under uncultured bacterium. RNAcentral describes it as "partial 16S ribosomal RNA". It matches the Rfam family "Bacterial small subunit ribosomal RNA", at positions 523 to 796 of the family's 1533-position model. The record is from RNAcentral.